CACACAGUAAACGAUGAAUACUCGCUGUUUGCGAUAUACGGCAAGCGGCCAAGCGAAAGCAUUAAGUAUUCCACCUGGGGAGUACGCCGGCAACGGUGAAACUCAAAGGAAUUGACGGGG
This 120-nucleotide ribosomal RNA is filed under the name uncultured bacterium. Its description in RNAcentral is "partial 16S ribosomal RNA". It matches the Rfam family "Bacterial small subunit ribosomal RNA", at positions 796 to 918 of the family's 1533-position model. The record is from RNAcentral.